AGAGGUUACGGUUAGAGCAAUGGUUAUGGUUACGUUUUCAGGAAUUAGGAUCAGGUUAUAAUUUAUUUAUUUUGCGUGUGUCCAGCUACAGUUGGGGUUAGGCACGUUUGGUUAGGCGCAUUUGGUUAGGAGUGUUCGGUUAGGAGCGUUUUGGUUAGGAGUGCUGACAUAUUUAGCAUCUAAUAUCUGAAUUUCUGACAGAUUUUCUAAAUUUUAAGGGAACAAAAAAAACAAUGUGUGCUUAUGCAAUCAGACGUGCAUCCGCUGAAAUCUGUCAUAAAUCCAUUCAUAAACAAUGACGUGUGAAGUUUUGUGUUUAAAACGGGCUCCGCUGCGAUUUCACUAUGCCUGGGGAAGCCCAAUACUGAGCCCCCUUAUGGAGCUCAGUUCAGGGGAAAAGUCUCUGGAAGUUUGUCACUUUGCACGAAAAUAGUGCACAUCACCCGGGGAAGCCCAAAGCUGAAAGCUCUUAUGGAGCUCAGUUCAAGGGAAAUGUCUCUGGAAGUUGGUGAUUUUGUACGAAAAUAGUGCACCAUGCCUGUGGAAGCCCUUUGCUGAAAGCCCCUCUGGUUCUCAGUGUCUCUUGUUUUUUUUCUAAGUCCAAAAUUUUUUCUGUCCGGUUUUCACCUCCGGGGUGCAAGAACCAGGCACUUUUCCCAAUUUUGUAUACGACCCGAAGUGCACCCCGUCGACCACUUUCGUGCCUUGACCCUUGACUGGAAGACGUUUGCGCAUGGGGUUUAUCAGAGGGGUGCCGUUGGGCCAGUGAGCGAUCGUAGGAAUUGAAGGGGUCCAAGCACUUUAUGAUGGCGCUUAUGCUGGGAGACUCCGUCCGAGAGAAGAGACCCUGAAGGCAGUUUCUAUGUCUUUCUCUAGUGCUUGGAUACCCCUGGAGCUUCUGAUUUUUUUUCAUUUUCAUCAUUUAAAAAAAAAAAUUUUCUUUCAUUUUUCAG
This is a long non-coding RNA of Ictalurus punctatus (channel catfish), 953 nucleotides long. The record is from Ensembl. NCBI's taxonomy places the organism in Eukaryota, Metazoa, Chordata, Actinopteri, Siluriformes, Ictaluridae.